UUAAACAGCAGAAAAUGGUCAAGAAAUCGUUGAGAUCUGUCCAUCAAUUUCUAAGAAUAAGAACAUGGGUUUUAUCUCUUUUUCUAUAUUUCAAUUUCUUUACAGAGGUGAUAGAAAGGCAAAAUAUUUCAUGACAUUUAAGUUAAAAGGAUACAACAGAAGAAAGAAAGAAGGGAAAAUGCUUAUACAGCCAGAGGGUAUGCUAUCUAUGAGAAGAAAAUAAUGGCUGAAACAAUAAACAACCAGCUAAAAGCUCCUGAGAAACUUCCAGGGUCCUGUUCUGGUCCCUAUCCUCCAAAAGCCCGCAGACGCACGGAGACUCAUAUAUAUGGUCAGAGCAAUCCAGAUACCAAUGAACUUAUAGCUGGAGGAGAGAAAAAUUAAACAUAGGAUGCUAAUAAUGGCCACCAGAACCUGGAUAAGAAGAAUGUCAAGCUAAUUUUUCUGAGAAUUUAAUAAACAUGAGAUGCUAAAGUAAGCAACCAGAAGUUAUACUUUAUGUUUCAAUCAUCAAGCAAAGAGAAAAGAAGGAAAGUUGAUUCUUGAACACAUAAUUUCAAUCCAAAUCCAAAAACCCUGUCAGAUUUUUUUUUUUCUUAAAUCAUUGGCCCUAAAAAAGUUAAUCCUCAGUUGAAAAAAUCUUCCAGUUCAUAUUUAUUUCGCCAUAAAGAAGCCAACCUUUAGCAGGAUACAUUUCCACUCUAUUUAACCAAGACCCAUCAUUCCAGUGGUUCUGUCUAUUAUUCAAAGAAUGAUUUCGAGAAUGCUAAAAACAGUCACAAUUCCAUAUUAAUUGUAGAAGUCCAGGACACUUGCCAUGGAGUAGGCAGAGUACGCAAAAUCAGAAGCUCCAAAGUUGACACCGUCAAAUACAAAUGCCAAGGCGUUGAGGGGUUGAGUACCUGCAACAAACUGAUAUUAAAGGAAAAGAAGCUUCAGUUCUAGUGUUAUUUGGGAUUUUGAGCAGAUUGAAAGGAUUAAAUGUUCCAUUUAUAUUUUCAGACAGGGGAGAUACCGGGAUGCCUAUACUAAUCAUGUGAAGAACAUUGACAUCACUUGUGAAUAAUCUUGCUCCAAAACUCAAUCCUAGUCCAAGUAUGAGAGCCAGCGACAAUCCUAGAAGCAAUCCCAACUGCAAUAUUCGAGAUGCAGUGGCCGUCACCUUGUCAUAGUCCCUUUUGGCAAAGGCACUUGCAAGUAUUGCCUGGCCAGCAACAGCCAAUCCAUCAGCGAGAAGAGAUGUGGUCAGCCAAACUUGCAAGCAGACCUGAAAUGCAGCCAUGGAUGUUGAUCCUUGUCGUGCAGCUAAUGAUGCAGAAAGAGUAACACAGAAUGUGACAGCUAUGACCCUCAUUAGUAAUAGAAAACCAUUUUUAAGAAAUUUACCAAAUUGCAGAUGUCUGACACUAGGAGGUACGAGAUCAACUUGUUCCAUUAGUCUCCACAAGAGUAUAAUUGAAAUCAGAUAUUGGGAUAUAACAUGGGCAAUGGCUGCACCACUAACUCCCAGACGGAAAACAAACAUGAGUAGGGGGUCUAAAAUUAUAUUUGUUACAUCUCCAGCCACUAGAGAUUAGAUAAAAUGAGCGCAAGCAUUAGAAUGAUGUGAAAUAAUCAAAUGGUUGAAAGAGCCAAAACAUUUCUAGUAUGUUGAAACACAUCAUUCAAAUCCCAUAAGGCAUACCAGUGGCAUAUAAAGGAGUCUUUGUAUCUUUCAAUCCACGGAAGACCCCUUGCAUGGCCAAGGAAAGGAGAACUGCAGGGGCGCCAAGUGACCUCAAUGUCAAAUAUUGCUGUGCAGGGCUUAGCAUGGGUGAAUCAGGACCAACUCCCAUGAAGUUCAACAAUGGUUUUGCUCUAGAUAUGAGGAAUAUAGCUUGGAUGAAGCCAAGGAUGGCGCCAAUAACUACUGCAGAUGAGGCUGAGGGGAUAUGCCUUCUUUCAUUCUCAAUCUUAACAAUAUCAAAGCUGCUAAUAAGUGAUUUUUCACUUUGUGGUAUCAACUCUUUAC
RNAcentral lists this unclassified non-coding RNA (2011 nucleotides) under Hevea brasiliensis (rubber tree). The record is from RNAcentral. Lineage: Eukaryota; Viridiplantae; Streptophyta; Magnoliopsida; Malpighiales; Euphorbiaceae.